This 64-nucleotide transfer RNA is filed under the name Coleoptera sp. 3 AH-2016. RNAcentral's name for it is "tRNA-Tyr". Lineage: Eukaryota; Metazoa; Arthropoda; Insecta; Coleoptera. The record is from RNAcentral.
GGUAAAAUGGCUGAGGUAUAGGCAAUAAAUUGUAAAUUUAUGGACGAAAUUUUUUCUUUUAUCA